RNAcentral lists this ribosomal RNA (396 nucleotides) under Triticum aestivum (bread wheat). Its description in RNAcentral is "partial small subunit ribosomal RNA". Lineage: Eukaryota; Viridiplantae; Streptophyta; Magnoliopsida; Poales; Poaceae. The record is from RNAcentral.
AUGACGGGGGGGAAGAUGGCGGCGGCGACGGCGGCGAGGUGGGCGGAGGGGUACCCGUGGAAGGAGAAGCUGGCCAAGUACAAGGGGGAGCUGAGCAAGGGGGUGUGGGGGUACUGGGAGCUCGGGGCGUGGAAGCCGCUGGGGAUCAGCGGGCGGCAGCGCGCGCGGCUCCGCAAGGAGGUGCUCCUCGCCGGCGAGGACUGGGCCUACGACCCGCCCCGCGGCGAGAUGCGCACCAAGCGCAAGGGCCACAAGGUCGACCGCAUCGCCGCCGAGAAGCGUGCCAACACCGUUGAGCUGAUGAAGAAGAUGCCCCAGAUGCUCCUCGACUACAAGAAACGUAGAUGGGAUAAGAAGAUGAAAGAGGAGGAGGCCGCGGCAGCAAAGGCUACUUAA